CCCUUAGAUGUUCUGGGCCGCACGCGCGCUACACUGACAGGGUCAGCGAGUGCUCCUGCGUCGAAAGGCGUGGGUAAUCUUUGAAACCUUGUCGUGCUGGGGAUAGAUCCUUGCAAUUAUUGAUCUUGAACGAGGAAUUCCUAGUAAGCGCAAGUCAUCAGCUUGCGUUGAUUACGUCCCUGCCCUUUGUACACACCGCCCGUCGCUUCUACCGAUUGAAUGGUUUAGUGAGGCCUCGGGACUGGCGCACGGGGCGCUGGCAACAGCACCCUCGCGCCGGGAACUUGGUCAAACUUGAUCAUUUAGAGGAAGUAAAAGUCGUAACA
Molecule: ribosomal RNA, 326 nt
Filed under: uncultured eukaryote
Lineage: Eukaryota
Description: partial 18S ribosomal RNA
Rfam family: Eukaryotic small subunit ribosomal RNA
Source: RNAcentral